GAAUUGGGAAACGACAGCCACUUCGAAAAUGCAGCCAUUGAUUACAUCAGGAAGAUGUGACAAAUGGAGCCCUUUUUUUUUGCAACGAAGAACGGCUGAUGCAUCGUUUGAUUUGAACAGCAGUGUUAAAGGAACAUAAAACAAGUAACUUGGAGAACUAACACAUGUGUGAUUUGAAAAGUCCAAAUGAGGAAAAGGUCAUGGAUGACAAGCUUCAGACCAAUUCUGAUGCAAUAGAUAACUAUCGAAUCCGUUGAUUCACACACGAAUACCAGAGGCAACUUUUUAAACCCUGUUGAUUUCGUAGACUUCCCAACGAGCCAAGGCAUCAAGGCAAUACAUUCAACCAAGGUAGCAUCCAAGUUCUGAGAUGGAUUAGAAGCCUGAGAAAAUAUGAUAGUGUAAGCUCUAAGAGCAUCAUCCCACCUUUGUAACAUCUCAU
Molecule: long non-coding RNA, 442 nt
Organism: Zingiber officinale
Lineage: Eukaryota; Viridiplantae; Streptophyta; Magnoliopsida; Zingiberales; Zingiberaceae
Exons: 3
Source: RefSeq, a predicted model, not a curated record